RNAcentral lists this ribosomal RNA (254 nucleotides) under uncultured bacterium. RNAcentral describes it as "partial 16S ribosomal RNA". It matches the Rfam family "Bacterial small subunit ribosomal RNA", at positions 524 to 776 of the family's 1533-position model. The record is from RNAcentral.
CACGUAGGCACCAAGCGUUGUCCGGAUUUAUUGGGCGUAAAGAGCUCGUAGGCGGUUCGGUAAGUCGGGUGUGAAAACUUUGGGCUCAACCCAAAGCCUGCACUCGAUACUGCCGUGACUGGAGUUCGGUAGGGGAGCGGGGAAUUCCUAGUGUAGCGGUGAAAUGCGCAGAUAUCAGGAGGAACACCGGUGGCGAAGGCGGUUCUCUGGGCAUUACCUGACGCUGAGGAGCGAAAGCGUGGGGAGCGAACAGG